This 75-nucleotide transfer RNA is filed under the name Macrococcus bovicus. Its description in RNAcentral is "tRNA-Val". It matches the Rfam family "tRNA". Rfam says of the family: Transfer RNA (tRNA) molecules are approximately 80 nucleotides in length. Their secondary structure includes four short double-helical elements and three loops (D, anti-codon, and T loops). RNAcentral also lists the same sequence under 1 other name. Lineage: Bacteria; Bacillati; Bacillota; Bacilli; Caryophanales; Staphylococcaceae. The record is from RNAcentral.
GCACCCUUAGUUCAGCGGGAGAAUACUUGCUCGACAAGCAAGGGGUCGGCGGUUCGAAUCCGUCAGGGUGCACUA